GGCGCCGGAACAAGUCACGGUGAUGGCGACGGUGCGCCGGUCGGAGCCACGGCUGGGUGGCACCUACCUGCCGCAGGAAGAGGAGGUCGGCGCCGACGGAGUGAAGUGGUUCCGACCGGCCGC
Non-coding RNA from Oryza nivara, 123 nucleotides. The record is from Rfam. Lineage: Eukaryota; Viridiplantae; Streptophyta; Magnoliopsida; Poales; Poaceae.